AUGAAGGAGAAAGCUCAGACAAGUGUGUCUGGGCACAAGCCACUCUUCAUAGCUGGAGAGAAGACAUCCAGUGAUUGGACAAGGGCCAUGCAGAGGAACGUGGGAUCUGUGCUGUGGAUUCUGUGGAUGCAGAUUUGUUCAGGGGUGAGAGGAGAUGAGGUGGACCAAAGUCCUUCAGCCCUGAGUCUCCACGAGGGAGCCAAUUCUGCUCUGCGAUGCAAUUUUUCUUUUGCCACGACAGCUAUGCAGUGGUUCCUCCAGAAUCCCAGGGGAAGCAUCAUCAGUCUCUUUUACCUGGCUCCAGGAACAAAGGAGAAUGGAAGGCUAAAGUCAACAUUCAAUUCUAAGGAGCGCUACAGCACCCUGCACAUCAGCGAUGCCCAGCUGGAGGACGCUGGCACCUACCUCUGUGCUUCUGACCCACAGUGCUCUGAGCAAGCUUACAGCCUGGCUCCAAACCACAGCUGA
This is a non-coding RNA of Apodemus sylvaticus (European woodmouse), 468 nucleotides long. NCBI's taxonomy places the organism in Eukaryota, Metazoa, Chordata, Mammalia, Rodentia, Muridae. The record is from the annotation of a RefSeq genome assembly.